AUUGAACGCUGGCGGCAUGCUUUACACAUGCAAGUCGAACGGCAGCGCGGGCUUCGGCCUGGCGGCGAGUGGCGAACGGGUGAGUAAUACAUCGGAACGUGCCCAGUAGUGGGGGAUAGCUCGGCGAAAGCCGGAUUAAUACCGCAUACGACCUGAGGGUGAAAGCGGGGGAUCUUCGGACCUCGCGCUAUUGGAGCGGCCGAUGGCAGAUUAGCUGGUUGGUGGGGUAAAGGCCUACCAAGGCGACGAUCUGUAGCUGGUCUGAGAGGACGACCAGCCACACUGGGACUGAGACACGGCCCAGACUCCUACGGGAGGCAGCAGUGGGGAAUUUUGGACAAUGGGCGAAAGCCUGAUCCAGCAAUGCCGCGUGUGUGAUGAAGGCCUUCGGGUUGUAAAGCACUUUUGGCGGGAACGAAAAGGACUGUGCCAAUACCACGGUUCGAUGACGGUACCCGCAGAAUAAGCACCGGCUAACUACGUG
RNAcentral lists this ribosomal RNA (484 nucleotides) under uncultured bacterium. Its description in RNAcentral is "partial 16S ribosomal RNA". It matches the Rfam family "Bacterial small subunit ribosomal RNA", at positions 29 to 507 of the family's 1533-position model. The record is from RNAcentral.